GGAGCAGAAGGUCAAAAGCUCGCUUGAUGUUGAUUUUCGGUAUGAAUACGGACCGUGAAAGCGGUGCCUCACGAUCCUUCUGACCUUUUGGGUUUUAAGCAGGAUUGAAGGGUCAAAACACAAAGU
Amblyraja radiata (thorny skate) is the source of this 126-nucleotide long non-coding RNA. RefSeq lists it as uncharacterized. NCBI's taxonomy places the organism in Eukaryota, Metazoa, Chordata, Chondrichthyes, Rajiformes, Rajidae. The record is from RefSeq and is a predicted model, not a curated record. The transcript has 3 exons.